UACGGGGGGGGCAAGCGUUGUUCGGAAUUACUGGGCGUAAAGGGCGCGUAGGCGGUUGGAUAAGUCAGCUGUGAAAACCACGGGCUUAACUCGUGGCCUGCAGUUGAGACUGUCUGGCUUACUAGAGUGCGGUAGAGGGGUGUGGAAUUCCCGGUGUAGCAGUGAAAUGCGUAGAUAUCGGGAGGAACAUCUGUGGCGAAGGCGACACCCUGGACCAGCACUGACACUGAGGCACGAAAGCGUGGGGAGCAAACAGG
This 257-nucleotide ribosomal RNA is filed under the name uncultured bacterium. RNAcentral's name for it is "partial 16S ribosomal RNA". It matches the Rfam family "Bacterial small subunit ribosomal RNA", at positions 524 to 776 of the family's 1533-position model. The record is from RNAcentral.